This 206-nucleotide ribosomal RNA is filed under the name Pyrenodesmia chalybaea. RNAcentral's name for it is "5.8S ribosomal RNA". The stretch from base 50 to 203 matches the Rfam family "5.8S ribosomal RNA". Rfam says of the family: 5.8S ribosomal RNA (5.8S rRNA) is a component of the large subunit of the eukaryotic ribosome. It is transcribed by RNA polymerase I as part of the 45S precursor that also contains 18S and 28S rRNA. Lineage: Eukaryota; Fungi; Ascomycota; Lecanoromycetes; Teloschistales; Teloschistaceae. The record is from RNAcentral.
AUCAAAAUCCUGUUUAUCAGUGAAGUCGGAGUAUAUGAAAAUCUAUCAAAACUUUCAACAACGGAUCUCUUGGUUCUGGCAUCGAUGAAGAACGCAGCGAAAUGCGAUAAGUAAUGUGAAUUGCAGAAUUCAGUGAAUCAUCGAAUCUUUGAACGCACAUUGCGCCCCCUGGUAUUCCGGGGGGCAUGCCUGUUCGAGCGUCAUUA